AAAUAGGUUCCAACAACAUUACUACGCGCAGGAAACCUCUCUCUAAACACUCUCUCCCAAAGGCGAAACCCUAGCUCCUCCUUCGUUCGGGUGGCCGACGGUGUUGCUCUUUUGCUUUCUUCAUUUCUUCGUCUUCGCCUCUCUUUUCCCUCCUCCUCUCUGUUUCCUUUCUCGGAGCUCUGAUUCUGGCGCCACCGCGCGGUGUAGAUCUGGCGCGUCGGACCUGGAUCUCCGGAGAAGCGAGGUGGAGGAGUGGAUGUACGGUUCCUUUAGUCAAACGGAGUGGUGGUGGCUCAGAUCUGGUUCUGUGGAGAGCUCUGCUUCUUCCUCUGCUUCCUCUGUUUGAUUUUCUCGGUUCUCUGUAGCAGAGGCGUGUGCGAAAAGGCGAGCAGCUGGGUUUGUCAACCACAACAACCCUUUUCGGGUGGCGGUGCGUGUGGAGUCAACAUGACUGUGGACUGGUGUAGGGCUGUCCUGGUCCGCUCCGCUCUGACUUCUGGUGGAGUAGUUGGCUCUGCCUCUUUGGUAUAGGUUCGAUAGCGUGUGGCGGCUCAUGGUCGUUCCUUCUCCAAAUAAAGCUCGGCUUGGUGGGGCGUGUGGUCUUGGUCUCGAGUGUAGCUGUCUGUCCAUAAAGUUUGCUGUGUGGGAGUGCUUAGCAAGCUGUUUUUGACAACCCGAUCAUUAAGAACAGGUCACCGGGUACGCCUAAUUCUACCGGGCCCAGCUCUCGCUAUAACUGCGGGUUGAUUCCGCGGCAAGCGAAUGUUCCUCUCCGUUGUAUCUUUUGUGUACUGCAAUUGUGCUUAAUGUCAUUUCAUGUGUUUCUUUAGGUUUGAGUUUGUGUUAGUUUUCUUUAUGUUGAUCUGCUACUAGUAUUCUCUGUCAA
This is a long non-coding RNA of Brassica napus (rape), 886 nucleotides long. RefSeq lists it as uncharacterized. The record is from RefSeq and is a predicted model, not a curated record. NCBI's taxonomy places the organism in Eukaryota, Viridiplantae, Streptophyta, Magnoliopsida, Brassicales, Brassicaceae. The transcript has 2 exons.